Molecule: ribosomal RNA, 440 nt
Filed under: uncultured bacterium
Lineage: Bacteria
Description: partial 16S ribosomal RNA
Rfam family: Bacterial small subunit ribosomal RNA
Source: RNAcentral
CCUACGGGAGGCUGCAGUGGGGAAUAUUGCACAAUGGGGGAAACCCUGAUGCAGCGACGCCGCGUGAGCGAUGAAGGAUUUCGGUAUGUAAAGCUCUAUUAGCAGGGAAGAAAAUGACGGUACCUGACUAAGAAGCCCCGGCUAACUACGUGCCAGCAGCCGCGGUAAUACGUAGGGGGCAAGCGUUAUCCGGAUUUACUGGGUGUAAAGGGAGCGUAGAGGGUCCUGAAAGACAGAUGUGAAAGCCCGGGGCUCAACCCCGGGACUGCAUUUGGAACUGUAAGGCUAGAGUGUCGGAGAGGCAGGCGGAAUUCCUAGUGUAGCGGUGAAAUGCGUAGAUAUUAGGAGGAACACCAGUGGCGAAGGCGGCUUGCUGGACGAGUACUGACGUUGAGGCACGAAAGCGUGGGGAGCAAACAGGAUUAGAUACCCUAGUAGUC